This 287-nucleotide ribosomal RNA is filed under the name uncultured Limnohabitans sp. RNAcentral describes it as "partial 16S ribosomal RNA". It matches the Rfam family "Bacterial small subunit ribosomal RNA", at positions 1 to 297 of the family's 1533-position model. Lineage: Bacteria; Pseudomonadati; Pseudomonadota; Betaproteobacteria; Burkholderiales; Comamonadaceae. The record is from RNAcentral.
CUCGGAGUUUGAUCCUGGCUCAGAUUGAACGCUGGCGGAAUGCUUUACACAUGGAAGUCGAACGGUAGAGGGGGCAACCCCUCGAGAGUGGCGAACGGGUGAGUAAUAUAUCGGAACGUGCCCAGUCGUGGGGGUAUAACGUAGUGAAAAUUACGCUAAUACCGCAUACGAUCUAAGGAUGAAAGCGGGGGAUCGCAAGACCUCGCGCGAUUGGAGCGGCCGAUAUCAGAUUAGGUAGUUGGUGAGGUAAAGGCUCACCAAGCCAACGAUCUGUAGCUGGUCUGAGA